GACGAACGCUGGCGGCGUGCUUAACACAUGCAAGUCGAACGGUAAGGCCCUUCGGGGUACACGAGUGGCGAACGGGUGAGUAACACGUGGGUGAUCUGCCCUGCACUUCGGGAUAAGCCUGGGAAACUGGGUCUAAUACCGGAUAGGACCCUGGGAUGCAUGUCCUGGGGGGGAAAGCUUUUGCGGGGUGGGAUGGGCCCGCGGCCUAUCAGCUUGUUGGUGGGGUGAUGGCCUACCAAGGCGACGACGGGUAGCCGGCCUGAGAGGGUGACCGGCCACACUGGGACUGAAAUACGGCCCAGACUCCUACGGGAGGCAGCAGUGGGGAAUAUUGCACGAUGGGCGCAAGCCUGAUGCAGCGACGCCGCGUGAGGGAUGACGGCCUUCGGGUUGUAAACCUCUUUCAGCACCGACGAAGCGCAAGUGACGGUAGGUGCAGAAGAAGGACCGGCCAACUACGUGCCAGCAGCCGCCGUAA
RNAcentral lists this ribosomal RNA (478 nucleotides) under uncultured bacterium. Its description in RNAcentral is "partial 16S ribosomal RNA". It matches the Rfam family "Bacterial small subunit ribosomal RNA", at positions 28 to 523 of the family's 1533-position model. The record is from RNAcentral.